Molecule: ribosomal RNA, 737 nt
Filed under: Staurothele succedens
Lineage: Eukaryota; Fungi; Ascomycota; Eurotiomycetes; Verrucariales; Verrucariaceae
Description: partial small subunit ribosomal RNA
Source: RNAcentral
CACUGGAAGAAUGAAUAACGAAUAGUUCGUAUAAAAUUCUAGAUAGAAAACAGAUAAUGACAACUCUCUAUCUAUUAGUCUUGACCAAAUUACGUGCCAGCAGUCGCGGUAAUACGCAGAAGACAAGUGUUAUUCAUCUUUAUUCGGUUUAAAGGGUACCUAGACGGUAAAUUAAGNCCUUAAUAGGGACUUAAUUUUCUAGGAGUUUUAUGGGAAUAAAGUCGAANCACCAGGAGKUAGAGRAUACCAAUAUUUUUGAUACCCCGGUAGACGGUUUAAAGGGCGUAGGCCAACUUUCUAUGUWAAAACUGACGUUUGARGGGACGAAGCCCUGGGUAGCGAUAAGGAUUUAGAUACCCCAGUAGUCCAGGGGAGACAAUGAUGAGUGCCAUACGCNUAGAUAUAUUAGCCUAWUAAAUGAWWAGUGUWWGCAUUCCACCUCMAGANUNAAGCGGCAACGCCCARAUUGAAAUCANUUAGACCGUUCCNUGWAACCAGUAGUGAAGUACGUUAUUUAAUUCGAUGAUCCGCGNAUAACCUUACCACGUUUUGAAUACUACAUGCAGGCCCGCAGGUUUAAUAAAUACUUGAACCYUAAUGACCGUAGUACAAGCGCUGCACGGCKGUCUCUAGUUGAUGUCGUGAGAYUUGGAUAAGUCCUCUAAUCGACGAAAGCCNUUGUUUUAUAUGUAUAUAUCAAGCAGUUCUCCGCUAUAUUGGAUAAGAUGACCGGGAUU